AAGAAUCUAGUUAAAUAAUAACAUAAGAUCGUCAAUCUUAAAUUACCUUUGUGCUUCUUA
This 60-nucleotide transfer RNA is filed under the name Ornithodoros zumpti. RNAcentral's name for it is "tRNA-Asp". The record is from RNAcentral. Lineage: Eukaryota; Metazoa; Arthropoda; Arachnida; Ixodida; Argasidae.